UUCCAUUAUAGUUGAUUUAGUGUUCCGUCGAUUUCUACUAUACAGUAAAGUGACUCAUUCAUGCACACACACACACACACACACACACAUAUACAUAUAUAUAUUCUUUUUCUCACAUUAUCCUCCAUCAUGUUCCAUCACAAGUGACUAGAUAUAUUUCCCAGUGCUAUACAGCAGGGUCUCAUUGCUUAUCCACUCCAAAUGUAAUAGUUUGCAUCUAUCAACCCCAGAUUUCCAGUCUAUUCCACUCCCCUUGGCAACCACAAGUCUGUUCUCCAAGUCCACGAGUUUCUUUCCUGUGGAAAGGUUCAUUUGUGCCAUAGAUUAGAUUCCAGAUAUAAGUGAUAUCAUGUGGUAUUUGUCUUUCUCUGUCUGACUCACUUCACUUGGUUUAUUGAUCACUAAAAAGCUAGUCAUACAACAGGGGCUACAAGGAAAUGAGAUACCAAUUCUGCUUCUGAACCCAAUAAUGAUAACCACUUUAUUACUUUAGCAGUUACCAUCUAUUGAGAACUUCCUACUUACAAGGCACUGCACUAAACAUACCCGAUCCUGACAAAUAUUCUUACUACUUUCAAGAUAGUUAGUGUUAUCUUCUAGUGACAGAAGAAGAAACAGUCUCAGAGCAGUUCAGUAACUUGCUCAAGGCUAUACACCCAGUAAGGGCCAAGGCCAGGAUUCUAGACUCCAUUCGAUUCCAAAUCUGGUGCUCCUGGGGGUUCCACUAUUGAGGAUAUGGGGAAACUGAUGGGCUAUAAAAAAGAAGGAUUAACUUGUAUCUUACCCACAAUCAAGUCAGAAUCUCCUCAUUGCUUUGCUGCCAGAGCAACCUCAAGACAAGGAGCUUCUGGAGUGGUUGGAGCUUCCACUUGAUCCUCACAAUGAGAACUAAAAGCAAACCAAGGAGAGAUGGCACUCCUGACGGGAUGGGAGCUUAGAUCUCAGGUGGACCAGCAUCUGGGGGACACAGCUCGUGGUGAAACAGAGGUCCAAGAAGGAGAGGUUGGAGAGGAAAAAGUACAUCGGGGAGUGGAGCCUGGGGUCCAGCGCGG
This 1052-nucleotide long non-coding RNA is filed under the name Sus scrofa (pig). Its description in RNAcentral is "lncRNA (ENSSSCG00070024694.1)". The record is from RNAcentral. Lineage: Eukaryota; Metazoa; Chordata; Mammalia; Artiodactyla; Suidae.